CGCGAUGCUGACAGAGUCCUGCAAAUCUUCUCACGGUACCUGAAGAGCGAGUGCAGGGAGAGGCGUCUCCUGGCGUUCAAGGCCCUCCUCAGGCUCACUGAUAAUCCCUUGAUGACCAGAAAAAUGUGGAGCCUGACUCAAAGACUUGUGAGGCUCCUGUGGGAUGAAGAUGGAGAGAUAGUUAAGAUAAAGGUCAUGGUACUCAGCUUUAUCAUCUUGGACAAGGACACACCAAUACCCAGCCUGAUCGCACUGCAGCUGGCUGAGGCGCUCCCGCCUCUCUUUGACCAUAAUAAUAACCAGGUGCAGCAGCUCUCCAUAUUGCUCUUCCAAACAUUGCUGACUCUUCCACUGGAAAAGAAAAUAAAGGCCCUGAAGACACAAGUGAGCCACAGCCUGCUCCCACUUUUCUUCCACUGCCA
Molecule: long non-coding RNA, 422 nt
Organism: Serinus canaria (Common canary)
Lineage: Eukaryota; Metazoa; Chordata; Aves; Passeriformes; Fringillidae
Exons: 3
Source: RefSeq, a predicted model, not a curated record